This 187-nucleotide small RNA is filed under the name Arabidopsis thaliana (thale cress). Its description in RNAcentral is "ATSL037740". Lineage: Eukaryota; Viridiplantae; Streptophyta; Magnoliopsida; Brassicales; Brassicaceae. The record is from RNAcentral.
UUAAACCUAAACCCAAAACCAUAGUCCCUAAACUUUAUAACCAAAAUCCUGCUUUAGCUUCUGGAAGCCGGUUGCGGUUCUAGUUCUUAUGCUCAACGAUACACAAAACAUCUAGUCAUAUUUGGCUAUAAAUCCGCUAACCAAGCCACUUCUUGAUUCUCAAAGCUUUGAUGGUGAAGUCAAAGAU